Brassica rapa (field mustard) is the source of this 2099-nucleotide long non-coding RNA. RefSeq lists it as uncharacterized. The record is from RefSeq and is a predicted model, not a curated record. Lineage: Eukaryota; Viridiplantae; Streptophyta; Magnoliopsida; Brassicales; Brassicaceae.
UUUUUUCAUUUUUUUAUUUUUAUUUUAUUUAUUUUUAUUUAUUUUUGUUUGUUUAUUUAAUUUUAAACCAAGGGUAUUAGGGAUAUUUUACCCUUUAAUGAAUGUCAUUUUUGUGACUUUCUCCUUCUAGUGCUAUUUUUGUGACAUAAACUUCAAAAUGUGCUAUUAUUGACAAUUGCCCGAUUAUAAAUAACAUAUGUAUUUAUGGACCACUUUUUUUGGGAGAAUCUUCCGCAAAGUUUUCGGUAUAUAGUUAUCGAUUUCAUGGACAUUUUAAAAUUGGCAUAAACGAAAUCUUUACUUUUAAACUGAGCCACAUGUAUCAAUUAUACAGAGGGUGGCCUAAAAUACAAAGAUAGAGAUCACGACUUUACCAUCUAUGCAGAUGGUAUUGUACGGAUGGGUCAUGGACAAUUUCUCAGGAUAAAAUUGAUAUAGUAUGUUAGAAGGUUUUGAUAGAUUGAUAGGGACAAGAAACACUAGGGCUAGUCUGUCAUCUCUUCACUCAUAAGUAGAAACGCUUAUCUGGACAAUAGAAUAUAUGAAGAAUUUACAUCAGUUUCAUGUCAUAUUUGCAACAUAUUAUUUUCAAUUGGCGAAGAUGAUUUAGGAACCAGAAGAAUGAUGAGCUUUUGCAAGUUAUUUGGAAGAUAUCAAGAUUCCUUGAAAUGAAGUUUUCAUAACUCAGAGAUCAUUCAUGUAUUACGAACAUCAAAUUCAAAUCUUACACGUAGUGUCAAGAAACAACCGUCAUUUAUUUUCACAUGGAUCGGAGUUACCCAUAUAGUUUACAGAGUCUUCAUGAGUAUGUAAAUAUUGGUGACAAAAAAAUAACAUAUACAUUAACAUUAUUAGUUUGUAAUUAAGAAGUAAAUUGAGUAUUCACAAAAUCAUAGCUUAUAAAUUUUGUCCAGUCAGGCUCUUAAGCUUUCCGAUUUUAACUAUACACUAGAGGGUUUGUCCGGGGUACGCCCGGAUUUUUUCUAUAAUAUUAUUAAAUUGAAUUAAACUUGCGUAUUUUUAUUGUAAGAUAUUAAUUUCUAAUGAAAUUUUAUUGUAACUCUUUUUAUAUGUAAAGAGUAGUGCAUCUCAUUUUAAAAGAAUGGUUAUGGUUGAUGUUAGUGAAUUCAACUGUUGUUAUAUUAUUUUGGUAAAUGAUGCUAUGUGCGGUUUGUAUAUGGGGAAUUGCCAAAAAUAGCACUUUUGAGAUACCACUUUUCAUUUCUACCUUAAUCAAUUUUACCAUUAAAAUUUUAAUUGGCAAAGUACCUUUGUACCCCUAACUAAUUAAACCUAAGACUAACUCUUCUCUCCUACAUCUCACGAUAAUUAAAUCUCAUCAUCUCAGAUUCAAAUCGGCGACGGAUUCCGGCGGUGACGAGUUCUCCGGCGAGAUUGGACGACUCUGCAGAGUUGUCCGGCGAGAUCCGACGAAGCUACGGCAAGAUUCGACGAAGCUACGAAGAGAUCUGACGAAGCUACUGCGAGAUCGUACGAAGCUGCGGCGAGAUCCGACGAAGCUACCGCGAUCUCUUUCAGGACGCUAAGAAACUCUAACAAAGGUUAUGAUUAUUGAACCAAUGACGCUCCAGUAACCAUAUCCAAUUGCUCCGACCAAAUCUCGCUCCGGUGAACACCAACAAGCUCCGGUGAACACGAUCGACAAACUUAAAGAUAGUUUGUGUCAGUGGAUUUGAUUUCCGAGUUCAAUUGAGUAAAUAAGUUCAAUUAAAUCUAUGUAAAACCCCAAAUCUAAUUGACGUGUUUGAACUUUGAAGUGCACAUUUCUUAGUUAAAUUACAGUGAAUCUUGUUUUUGGAAGUGAGUGCUUAUGCGUAGGAAUAAUAUGUGAUUGGGUUGUGUCCAGAAUUUGAAGAUCGACGAGGUUGGUGAGCUGUUUGAAGAAGUAAGAGGGACUCAGAAUAAGAACGUGGUUUGUGAGAUCAAAGAAUUGCAGAUUUAUAAAGCUUUAUAAAAGUUGCAGAGUUGGCUUCUUAACACCAUCUUCUCUCUCAUCUUCUUCAGACAUCUCUUAUACUAAAACAAUCGUAUAUCUCUCCUAAGACUUGCAAAGUUGAAGAGGUUAGUUGGACAUCUAA